CCCCUUUGUCACUGUGUGUCCUGUGUGUGGCCCCUUUGCUUUGUGCUACUGCUUCCAUGAUUCUUUUUGUAUUGGGGCUAAAAGGCUGUUAGUUUAUUCCACAAGUUUUUAUUAUAACGAUUAUAUGCAUUCUUACUAAUUAUAUUGUGUUUCCUUUGUUCCUUUUUCCACAAGUGGAGCCAAAAAAUUCACUCCACCUCCACUGCAAGGGGUCAUGGUCCUUUUUUGUGAGUAAGUAUAUGAAGCUCAUGUUUGCUGGCUAGGAAUAUCCUUCGACUACUAAUGCCAGUUUCAGUUUUCCACCCUACUUUGAUUGGCACUGGAAUGAGUAGCUCUCUGAUACUCAGUACUCGUUGUCAAGCACUGGGUCUCAUGAUAGCACAAAAAAGGCUCCAUCUACACGGAUCUCCUUUACAGCAGGUCAAAAUUUCCAGGUGUUAAACUUUUUAGGUUUGUGUCAAAAAUUUUAGAUGUGUUUUUUUGCUUGUUAUCAGCCCAAAAAAUAUACCUCUAAAUGUUUGCUUUUCAAGAUAUUUUUUUCUUAUUAUCAGCCAGAAAUUGUACAUGUAAAUGUUUUUUUUCUUGUUAUCAACCCAGAAAUUGUCCCUGUAAAUGUAUUUUCAUAUGUAAUUGUACCCAGAAAUGAUUUUUUGUUUGUUAUCAGCC
Panicum virgatum (switchgrass) is the source of this 666-nucleotide long non-coding RNA. RefSeq lists it as uncharacterized. The record is from RefSeq and is a predicted model, not a curated record. Lineage: Eukaryota; Viridiplantae; Streptophyta; Magnoliopsida; Poales; Poaceae. The transcript is spliced from 4 exons.